GGCUGGAACCUCUCGGGGUUACAGCCUUGCUGAAUUAUUCACCCUUGUCUUUUGCGUACUUCUUGUUUCCUUGGUGGGUUCGCCCACCACUAGGACAAACAUAAACCUUUUGUAAUUGCAAUCAGCGUCAGUAACAAAUUAAUAAUUACAACUUUCAACAACGGAUCUCUUGGUUCUGGCAUCGAUGAAGAACGCAGCGAAAUGCGAUAAGUAGUGUGAAUUGCAGAAUUCAGUGAAUCAUCGAAUCUUUGAACGCACAUUGCGCCCUUUGGUAUUCCAAAGGGCAUGCCUGUUCGAGCGUCAUUUGUACCCUCAAGCUUUGCUUGGUGUUGGGCGUCUUGUCUCUAGCUUUGCUGGAGACUCGCCUUAAAGUAAUUGGCAGCCGGCCUACUGGUUUCGGAGCGCAGCACAAGUCGCACUCUCUAUCAGCAAAGGUCUAGCAUCCAUUAAGCCUUUUUUUCAACUUUUGACCUCGGAUCAGGUAGGGAUACCCGCUGAACUUAAGCAUAUCAAAAGCCCGGGAGGAAA
RNAcentral lists this ribosomal RNA (528 nucleotides) under Alternaria brassicae. Its description in RNAcentral is "eukaryotic LSU rRNA". The stretch from base 150 to 303 matches the Rfam family "5.8S ribosomal RNA". Lineage: Eukaryota; Fungi; Ascomycota; Dothideomycetes; Pleosporales; Pleosporaceae. The record is from RNAcentral.